CCUACGGGAGUCUGCAGUGAGGAAUAUUGGUCAAUGGACGAGAGUCUGAACCAGCCAAGUAGCGUGAAGGAUGACUGCCCUAUGUGUUGUAAACUUCUUUUAUAUGGGAAUAAAAUGUUCCACGUGUGGGAUUUUGUAUGUACCAUAUGAAUAAGGAUCGGCUAACUCCGUGCCAGCAGCCGCGGUAAUACGGAGGAUCCGAGCGUUAUCCGGAUUUAUUGGGUUUAAAGGGAGCGUAGGUGGAUUGUUAAGUCAGUUGUGAAAGUUUGCGGCUCAACCGUAAAAUUGCAGUUGAAACUGGCAGUCUUGAGUAAAGUAGAGGUGGGCGGAAUUCGUGGUGUAGCGGUGAAAUGCUUAGAUAUCACGAAGAACUCCGAUUGCGAAGGCAGUUCACUGGACUGCAACUGACACUGAGGCUCGAAAGUGUGGGUAUCAAACAGGAUUAGAUACCCGAGUAGUC
This 460-nucleotide ribosomal RNA is filed under the name uncultured bacterium. Its description in RNAcentral is "partial 16S ribosomal RNA". It matches the Rfam family "Bacterial small subunit ribosomal RNA", at positions 338 to 795 of the family's 1533-position model. The record is from RNAcentral.